UACGUAGGGUGCAAGCGUUGUCCGGAAUUAUUGGGCGUAAAGAGCUCGUAGGCGGUUCGUCGCGUCGGCUGUGAAAUCCCGAGGCUCAACCUCGGGUCUGCAGUCGAUACGGGCGGACUGGAGUUCGGCAGGGGAGACUGGAAUUCCUGGUGUAGCGGUGAAAUGCGCAGAUAUCAGGAGGAACACCGGUGGCGAAGGCGGGUCUCUGGGCCGAUAUCGACGCUGAGGAGCGAAAGCGUGGGGAGCGAACAGG
Molecule: ribosomal RNA, 253 nt
Filed under: uncultured bacterium
Lineage: Bacteria
Description: partial 16S ribosomal RNA
Rfam family: Bacterial small subunit ribosomal RNA
Source: RNAcentral